Small nucleolar RNA from Bombina bombina (fire-bellied toad), 132 nucleotides. RefSeq annotates it as small nucleolar RNA SNORA68. Lineage: Eukaryota; Metazoa; Chordata; Amphibia; Anura; Bombinatoridae. The transcript has a single exon. The record is from RefSeq and is a predicted model, not a curated record.
AUUGCACAUAAAACCCAAAGAUCAUUAUUGUAUUGUGUAAUGAUCUUGUCUGUUGUGCAUAUAUUAACUAAACCUUGUCGCCUUUCAAGAGCUGGAUGUGCCUGUGAAAGUGAAAUCAAAGGUUUCACAAGA